GUCCUAGCUGUAAAUGGUGCACGUUUGCUGUGGGCGGAUUCGACCCCGUCCGUGGCGAAGCUAACGCGUUAAACGUGCCGCCUGGGGGAGUACGGUCGCAAGAUUAAAACUCAAAGAAAUUGACGGGGGCCUGCACAAGCGGUGGAGUAUGUGGCUUAAUUCGAUGCAACGCGAAGAACCUUACCUGGCCUUGACAUGCAAGUAGUAGAAGCCUGAAAGGGUGACGAGGUAGCAAUACCAGCUUGCACAGGUGCUGCAUGGCUGUCGU
RNAcentral lists this ribosomal RNA (268 nucleotides) under uncultured bacterium. RNAcentral describes it as "partial 16S ribosomal RNA". It matches the Rfam family "Bacterial small subunit ribosomal RNA", at positions 793 to 1055 of the family's 1533-position model. The record is from RNAcentral.